UGCUCAGUGUCACAAUGGGUCAGUGCGUCUGGCCCAUUGUUAACCAGAAGGUUGGUGGUUUGAGUCCACCCAGCGAUGGCUGUGAGCAG
Molecule: non-coding RNA, 89 nt
Organism: Podarcis lilfordi (Lilford's wall lizard)
Lineage: Eukaryota; Metazoa; Chordata; Lepidosauria; Squamata; Lacertidae
Source: the annotation of a GenBank genome assembly